UCCAGAAUCAUGGACGGACAGAGGAUGCACUUGUCCAAUCCUCAAUCCUGUUCAACAGCUAAGGCCAAAGAAAGCUGAUAAGAAAACUGAAACCUUACACGCCAACCUGCUUCCUUGGCUACUUUGGAAAAGAAACAAUCCUAUUGGGUAUCCCUGCAUAUUCAUUCUUAAUUCAUGCAUACAUUUACUCAUUCAUCAGUCAUAUAUUUUAGAACACCAAAACUAGGACUAAAGUAUUGUAUUUUCUUUUUCUAUGGAUACAAAAUAAACUUCGUGUUCUCAA
This 283-nucleotide small RNA is filed under the name Pongo abelii (Sumatran orangutan). RNAcentral's name for it is "processed transcript". Lineage: Eukaryota; Metazoa; Chordata; Mammalia; Primates; Hominidae. The record is from RNAcentral.